ACGGGGUGCAGCAGGCGCGAAAACUUUACAAUGUGGGAAACCGUGAUAAGGGGACACCGAGUGCCAGCAUCAUAUGCUGGCUGUCCGGAUGUGUAAAAUACAUCCGUUAGCAAGGGCCGGGCAAGACCGGUGCCAGCCGCCGCGGUAACACCGGCGGCCCGAGUGGUGAUCGUGAUUAUUGGGUCUAAAGGGUCCGUAGCCGGUUUGGUCAGUCCUCCGGGAAAUCUGAUAGCUCAACUAUUAGGCUUUCGGGGGAUACUGCCAGACUUGGAACCGGGAGAGGUAAGAGGUACUACAGGGGUAGGAGUGAAAUCUUGUAAUCCCUGUGGGACCACCUGUGGCGAAGGCGUCUUACCAGAACGGGUUCGACGGUGAGGGACGAAAGCUGGGGGCACGAACCGGAUUAGAUACCCGGGUAGUCCCAGCCGUAAACGAUGCUCGCUAGGUGUCAGGCAUGGUGCGACCGUGUCUGGUGCCGCAGGGAAGCCGUGAAGCGAGCCACCUGGGAAGUACGGCCGCAAGGCUGAAACUUAAAGGAAUUGGCGGGGGAGCAC
Molecule: ribosomal RNA, 554 nt
Filed under: uncultured Methanosarcina sp.
Lineage: Archaea; Methanobacteriati; Methanobacteriota; Methanomicrobia; Methanosarcinales; Methanosarcinaceae
Description: bacterial SSU rRNA
Rfam family: Archaeal small subunit ribosomal RNA
Source: RNAcentral